CGUUUGAGACCCAGCGUCUCUAGAUCUCGUAUUUGAAUUUGUGGCGCUUGGUGUCCGCGAGUUGCCGAAUGAAGCUGAGCGUCUCAGUGGAACCAGGGAUCUCAGGGAGGGGAAGGUAUAAAAUUUUCAAAUGGAGGAGUAUACCUGAACCUAAUCAUGGAUGUGAUUUUAUGUAAGUAAUAUGUGAGAUACAGAUAAGCUGAUUCUAAAACUUACAAGAAUGGCAAAGAAACAAGAAGAGCUUAAACUGCAAUCAUCAACAGAGAAGCUUUCUGCAACCAAAGUGAAGACUGAAGCCUUAGGCUAUGGCAGAAGUUGGGCGCCUGAAGUACACGUGGAAAUAUGCCAACUGAACAUUGGACUACCACGUCAAGGGUCUCCUACCCCUGGGCCAUGGAUCAAUACCAGUCUGUGACCUGUUAGGAACCGGUAGCAGGAGCGCCUGCCCCUGGCUCAGCGCCCGGUGCCAACAGAACACCUUUCAGGAUCCACAGCAACGCAGACAACGAGUCCAGAAUCCCGGCCUCUGCUUGGAACGGAACAGUGU
RNAcentral lists this long non-coding RNA (547 nucleotides) under Homo sapiens (human). RNAcentral describes it as "HSALNT0233252". Lineage: Eukaryota; Metazoa; Chordata; Mammalia; Primates; Hominidae. The record is from RNAcentral.